This 472-nucleotide ribosomal RNA is filed under the name uncultured bacterium. RNAcentral's name for it is "bacterial SSU rRNA". It matches the Rfam family "Bacterial small subunit ribosomal RNA", at positions 355 to 825 of the family's 1533-position model. The record is from RNAcentral.
UCGGGAAUAUUGGACAAUGGGCGCAAGCCUGAUCCAGCCAUGCCGCGUGAGUGACGAAGGUCUUCGGAUUGUAAAGCUCUUUCGGCGGGGACGAAACGGUCCGUGACAACACCACGGACUAAUGACAGUACUCGCAGAAGAAGCACCGGCUAACUACGUGCCAGCAGCCGCGGUAAUACGUAGGGUGCAGGCGUUAAUCGGAAUUACUGGGCGUAAAGCGUGCGCAGGCGGCUCCUUAAGUCAGAUGUGAAAUCCCCGGGCUUAACCUGGGAACUGCGUUUGAAACUGAGGGGCUAGAGUGUGGAAGAGGGGGGUGGAAUUCCAGGUGUAGCAGUGAAAUGCGUAGAGAUCUGGAGGAACACCGAUGGCGAAGGCAGCCCCCUGGGCUAACACUGACGCUCAUGCACGAAAGCGUGGGGAGCAAACAGGAUUAGAUACCCACGUAGUCCCUGAGCGGGCUGGCAAGGCGCAU